This 647-nucleotide small RNA is filed under the name Tannerella forsythia 3313. RNAcentral describes it as "Acido-Lenti-1 RNA". Lineage: Bacteria; Pseudomonadati; Bacteroidota; Bacteroidia; Bacteroidales; Tannerellaceae. The record is from RNAcentral.
AUAAAUCAACAUUUUAUAUCAGGCUUACAGCCCUCCGCAAGGAGAUUGCUUUUUCCCCAGCGCUUCGCAUUGGGCUGAAUUAACACGCCCUUUCAGGGCUCUUACAGCAGUCAGCCGUCAGUUCCGCAUUCCUCCUUGGAAGGGGGGGAAGGGGGAUGUUCAUAUCGGCAUUAUGACGGGUGAACACAGAGGUUUGCCCCUACAUGAACUGCCCUUUCCUCUACCCUGUCAUUCAGAGCUCCUCCUUUGUCAUUCAGAGCACUUUCCUUGUCAUUCAGAGUGUCAGCGAUGAAUCUUUCCUCUUCCUCGCGGGAUUCCUCACGGCGUUCGGAAUGACAGGGGUACAUGUCGUAGAGACGCAAAUCAUUGCGUCUCUACGGUGCGUACUGCGUUCAUUUGCGAAAUUUGCGUUCGGACACCGUGUACCCUGUACAUAACCAUUACCCGAAAGGGCUGCAAACCCGAUAUAUUUCAGCCCCAUCCCGUAAGGGUGGGGUCCCGUCCAACCUUGUUCGGAGGGCUGUAAGCCUGAUGUAAUUUAUCGGUCAGUAUUCAGCCAUCAGCUUCCAUCCAACAAUCAAACAACUCAACCAUUCAACAGCUCAACGCCCGAAGGGCAUCACUUUUCACUUUUCAUUUUUCGUUUU